GGGGCGGAGAGCAAGCGCCCGUCUAAAGGAGCCUGUUUUCUGUUUUAAAACAGCCAGAGGCGACAAUGUUUGCUGCACACGCUUUGCCCCAAACGGUUGCCAGGUGUGGGAUGAGGAGACGGCAGGAGCCGCCGUGUUCGUGGUGACCGUGCUUUCCGUCGCCUCGUGCAGGGCCAGACGCCUGGACCCGAAGUAAAACCCCCAACACAUGGAAGAUGUUAAUGAAGCAUUUUUUUAUUCUGGAAAGAAGACCACCAGACCACUGAGCACCAGCUUUGAAAACAACAUAAGCUUCCUCUGCCCUGGUCCUUAUCUGUGGCCGUUUUUUUCACUCCUCAAACUAUAAAACCACCUCCCAAGCUCCCCUAAGGGGGGCACCGUCUUUGAGGCAUUAGCCUGCGGUGACCCUCCUUUGCCUGGCAAAGCAAUAAAGCUAUUUUCUUCUCUUUUGCCCAACACUCCGUCUCCAUGUCUCUAUUUGGCACUGGUGGGCAGAGGCCGCAUCCUGGCAACAGUCUCUUUCAAGAAAAGGUUCAAAUCUAGAAGUGAAGAGAGCCAUGAAAAAAUUGUUCUCGUACAGUUUUUAAAGGUCAUUUUGAAAACAUGUUUCAUUUUCUGCCUCAGUGCAGACGCGGGCUUUUCUCUACUCAGUAAGAUCUUUGGCUUAGUUUUAUCAUCGCCAGAAAUAGGAUCUGCGUUCAGGAAAAAUGAAGAUCUGCUGACCCCCAGUUUGUUGUGACGGAAUGAACUCAAAUCUUCAACAGGAACGCAAAUAAAAUGAAUGUUAUUAAUGAAAAACGAGCCUAAAGAGAAUACGUAUGUUUUAUUUCAUAUCUGAGCUGAAAAGAUGACACAUAUCAUAUCAGACAUUCAUUAAGAUCCAGAAAUUUAUUUUAUUGAGCUAUAUUUUAAAUUAUCCUCUUGUCCGCUCCUGAGGGAUCUAGUGUAAGAAACUUUUAUUUCUUUUUGUUUCCAUCACUCUGAGAUCUAUCCUGUGUUAAAACACAGUACGUUGCUAAGAGCAACCUGUGGUCUUGACUUGAGCCAUCCCGGCUUUGCUCUCUCAUUGAAGUUGAAUGCAAUUCUACGGCUCAAUAUGAAUCAGAUGGGAUCUAAAAGUAGACCUGAAACUUCUCCAGAUGGUCAUGUGGAGCUCAGUGGGUGUAGUCCAUCGAGUCUCAAGAUUCUUCCGCACGACUUGUAUCUUCUGGAGAAACUACGUAUCAAAAACCUCAUGAAAAAUAAAAUAUUACCUGCCAUAUCAGUAAACAAGAAUGUCAGUGAUUUCAGCCACCUCAGACAGUGAGCAGAGCUGGUGAGCCCUGAGGGAACUCAGAAAGGAGACAAUACCUGCCAUCUAGCAGCCAUCAGACUCUAGCCACUCCGGAGGGUGAGCCCUGAGGAAAACUCAGGACGCAAGAACACAGGAUACUGGCCCUAGACAGCUGAGGUGCCUAUCAAAGGAACAAUUGCAGGGAGCCCAGCCUUUGCAUCUUCCUACACUAGAAAAGCUCUAAAAUCCUUGAGCUACCUGCCUUCUUUGAAUAGCAGUAAUCUUUUGCUCUUACUACUUGCCCUUGGUUGCAAAAUUCCUAUACAUCCUAGCUCCCCACUCAUUCAUAUGAGCAGGUUUUCUCAGGGUUACUUGAGAUGCUGCCUCUUGGGCUUAAGUCCUCAUCUCUCCCAGAAUAAAACUUAACGCUCAACUUUUAGGUUACACAUGUAUUUUUUUUUUAGUUGACACUCUCAAUGAGCUAUGUAUGUGUUAUUUGUGACAUAAAUUAUAACACAAUAAUAAUAAAUUAUAAGUUAAAUUCGAAGUGAAGAAUAACUGUUCAGUCAAGUUUAUUCAUUUAGAACGUAGCAUAUUUGGCAUUAAGCUAAAAUGCUAUUGAUAAAUAAAUAAAUAUCAUUAAUAUUUUCAUGGGAUAUUUGUUCCACAAUUCCAGACAGAUGUUUAAUGGACUUAUACACUAAGAUAUGAACUCCUAUAUUGUGAGAAUUAGGAAGGUUCUCUGAUAAUGCAAAUGAGAGGUCUUUUGGCUGAUUUGAGGUCAAGCCUCUAACUAUCACUUAACUAGUUGAUUAACAAACAAUGUGAAUUAUCCCUUGAUUAAUAACGCACUAUGCUAGCUGUACCCCUAAUUCCACUAGUAUUGAUAACAUUGAAUACAUAAAAUAGCCCAGGUAGAUGUGAUAAAGGAUUGACUGAAGGAAAUCCAAUCCUUGCAUUCAUCUUUAUAAUUGCAAAUUUAUACUUAAAUGGGAAGAAUAACAGAGCACUUUAGACCAGAACCACAAUGAUGUCAACAUCGCAUCCUUAUAAAAUUGUCUUUGCUGAAUCUUCAUUUCUUGUUAUGCAGGACACUAUAUGAAACAACAAGAAAAGUCAAUUGUUUUUAUUACAGAAAAUGCCGUAAGUUAUGACAAUGGGCUGUAUUGGUUAGGUCUUAUGAAAAAUAAAUUCUCCCAACUCAGCAUCAUAUACAGGACACUAUAUGAAACAAAAAGAAAAGUCAAUUGUUUUUAUUACAGAAAAUGCCGUAAGUUAUGACAAUGGGCUGUAUUGGUUAGGUCUUAUGAAAAAUAAAUUCUCCCAACUCAGCAUCAGAAACAUUGAGCCUUUCCAGAACAAGUUGUUUUGAUCAAGCUUUUAUAAAACUAAUAAUUCAGAAGUCUCUCCUUUUUUGUAGACAAAAUGGUUGAAGGAAAAUUUGAAUUCACAUUGUAGCAAUUUUUAAGAAGCAUAACAUGAAUUUCUGUUUCUGUAAUCAGACAAUAUUUCCUUUUUCAUAUUUUACUUGGCCUGAUUUUCACUAAUUAUAUAUAUAUUUUUCUUCUUACUUGUAUUUUUCUGCAACCUAUGUCAAUUUAACAGUUAAGUGAGUGGCAAGGUAAAUAAAUAAACAAUAGUAAAGUAAAAAACAGAUUUGAAUUGGCGCUAAGAUGAUAUGGAGAAUUUCCUAAAUAGUUUGAUUGAAGAGAGACAAUGAUUUUAACUAGAUCAAUCCUCCUUAAAAAAAAAAAAAAAGAAUAGUCUGGGACAGAAUAAUCAAAGUCUUAAACAUGACCAAAAUUCAUCUUGAAAAUGACCAGGGUCUUUUGGUUAUAACCUUUGAAAAAUUUUAAAGAAUUGUAUAACUAUGAUAUUGGAAAUAUGAAAGAAAAGUUCUGAUAUUUUCAUUCAUAAUGCAUGCAAUAUAUUUUUUUCACUUUGUAAUUAUGAGCAUGUAUCCCCACACAAUAAAAAUUGCAUCGA
Molecule: long non-coding RNA, 3259 nt
Filed under: Sus scrofa (pig)
Lineage: Eukaryota; Metazoa; Chordata; Mammalia; Artiodactyla; Suidae
Description: lncRNA (ENSSSCG00065011339.1)
Source: RNAcentral